Molecule: long non-coding RNA, 489 nt
Organism: Gadus macrocephalus (Pacific cod)
Lineage: Eukaryota; Metazoa; Chordata; Actinopteri; Gadiformes; Gadidae
Exons: 2
Source: RefSeq, a predicted model, not a curated record
UUUAUUCGAAACAUGAACACUGGACAAAUAAAAAUCGAAUCAAAGUCUUCGCUGAUAAAAAAUAAUAAUCAUACAAAUAAUGUAGAGAGUUCUGGAUUUCAAGUCUGCACUAGCUGGAAGUGGAAUGAAAAAAGAAACAAAAGAUCGAGUCCAGACUCCAUGUGGUUUACACCACCUCUGUAAGACUGAAAAACAUGUCUACAUACAACUUUAUCUCAACUAUAAAUUAAUAUUAAGAACUCUGCCGGGGCUGUACCUGCAACGACAUAAAAUAAACAAAACAUGAUCUAAGAUUCAAAAGCAAACUGAAACCAAAUGGUAGUGAUGGUUUACCAGUCCAUUAACCAGUAAGCUGCUAAUGGUUUAACCAGUCCAUUAACCAGUAAGCUGCUGAUGGUUUAACCAUCCAUUAACCAGUAAGCUGCUGAUGGUUUAACCAGUCCAUAAACCAGUAAGAUCCACCUAAACUCAUCUUCUUACAUAGACUUU